Molecule: long non-coding RNA, 661 nt
Organism: Ostrea edulis (European flat oyster)
Lineage: Eukaryota; Metazoa; Mollusca; Bivalvia; Ostreida; Ostreidae
Exons: 2
Source: RefSeq, a predicted model, not a curated record
UCGAAAGGUAAUCAACUCCAUUCACCGACGACACCUGGAACAAAGGAUCCCGUGUUUUGUAAUCGGCAUUUCAGAAUUUUAUUAUUUGCUGAAUUUCUGGAUAUUAUAGUCGGAUACCUUAGACCAUGAAUUGAGUAAAAUUUUGAAUAGGAAUACCAGUAUGCUUGAACAGUGAACACAACUCAGAACGGAACAUCGCGGUGCAUCCAAGGACAGAUAUUUCUAGGGAUGCUGCUAUGACCAGAUUAUCAUUCUCGUCAAACCCCACCUCAAAUGGAUCAAUUUUGUGAUUUAAAACUUGUAUAUUUGCUGUUGCGCAAAUAGCGCAUUUUCACCUAUCUUUUAAACAUUGAUUUUUUUUACUUUCAACCAACAUGUGUAUUGGACAUUUAUGGCCAUCGGAUAUUGGCCCAUUGAACUCAACAUUGAACAGUUAUAUUGAUGGGAUAUUGGCCCAUUAGACAUUUAUAUUGAUGGGAUAUUGGCCCAUUGAUCAAUCAUUGAGAACUCGCUUUACCCAGUGCACAAUUUAGCCCAGUUGAGGUCGCCACUUGUGUAUACAUUGUUGGGGGGCGACCCGGCGGCCGCCCCCAUAUACUUAUUGUCCAAUUGAAUUCACCGUGACCAAUUAAGCCAAACACAAAUAAAUUUUUCAAGUAAA